Molecule: long non-coding RNA, 2962 nt
Organism: Gopherus flavomarginatus (Mexican gopher tortoise)
Lineage: Eukaryota; Metazoa; Chordata; Testudines; Testudinidae
Exons: 2
Source: RefSeq, a predicted model, not a curated record
CAGUGGUUGCAGAAUCAAGCCCUAUCAGUGGGGGAAGCGAAGAAGACUUUAAGCUGGAAAGGCAGGGACAGAGGUGUCUCCUGAGUUACCGUCUUUCUCCUUGGAUGAGAAAGGGAUAUGCAGAGAACCACAGUACUCUACCCAUCUCUUUUACCACAAAAGGGGUCAAGUUUCCCCAUGGCUUGAUCAUUCCUUGGCCCUCUGCUGAGUUAGGAAUGAGGAGAGAAAUGUCCCCAUGAGUGUUUUCCCUCUUUAAAUAGGUAAAAGAAACAAAUGCUGUCAAGUUUCCCUGUUUACCCCUACUCCUGGGGUGGGCAAGGGAGGUAAGAGAUGAUAGAUAACGAGGGUAGGUGGAGGAUUAACUAAGUUAGGGAGAAUGGAGGCAGAACAGGAAAUGCAAGGUGCUAGGAACAUGGGAGAAGAGGAGAGAAGAAAUGGAACACAGGUAGUGGAAAAAUCAGAAAAGCAUUUGGGGGGAAAAUUGAAGAAAUAGUCUUAGAAUUUAACAUUGUAGGAAAACAGACAUUGCCAAAAAAGUGCAAAGGAUAUACCAAAAUAUACUAUGUAGUCUGAACCUCCUAAAAAUGUCCUUAGCUUUGGAGAAGUUCCUGACAAAAAUUGUCUGCCCUACCAGACUGAAUUGUAUUUUUUAAGUAUUCUGUAUGCACUGUUUUUGUAGCCAUGUUUGUCCCUGUGUAGGUAUUCUGUGUAAACCUCGCCUAUAAAAGCCUGGCACUGAGCAACAAAAGCUGAAAAUGGGUAAUGUGCACAGGGGAGUCUCUAAGACAUUUUGCCGCCCCAAGCACGGCAGGCUGCCUGCCGCCCUCGUGGCAACCAGCAGAGCCACUCCACGCAGCUUGCUGCCACAAGCACACGCUUGGCAUGCUGGGGCCUGGAGCUGCCCCUGAAUGUGCACCCAAACCAGCGAAUAAAUUUGCAGCCUGCUAGUAACUUUUUUCUGUAACUUUUACGCACUUAAGGCUCUCUGUGCAGUUGGGCCUUGGAGCAAUACUGUGUCUUGUGCUUUUUCAAAGAGCCAAAAUUCCCUAGUUCCUGGAUAUUUCCAGAGCACUGAGAGAGUGACUUCGGAGAGCAGUUGCUGACAAUUUCAGGGUUCCCUUAACUCAUAAGGAUAGGCCCCUACUAAGCAUUUUUAAUUUGGGACAGAUCUGGGAGCAAGAUGUCUUAAAAAACUAAGUGGUAUUAAAUCAUCAAAAAUCGGUGUUCACCAAAGAAAGCUGAUAUACAUUUCUCCCCCCCCACCAUUUCAUGUAAUUCAGGUAGUUCAUUUUAUAGAUUUACCCACUGGCUGGCUGGAAUAAGAGGGCAAACUAGUUGAGAUUCAGUCCAGAUAGGAAGCAUGCUCAUUGUCUGGGGCAAACUACCAGUAAAACAUCAACAAUAAUAUCAGCUCUCUUCUGCUAAAGGGCUGUUGGUCUUACUGGAUCCUCAGCUGUUUCUUGUAGUGGCCAAGAAUAUUUUGUAUCAUCUAUGCUAGGUCAGGAAGUUGUGACCUUUUCUUUGGGAUGUCACCACCAUAAUUCAUGCCUUUGUCACCUCCAGAUUGUAUUACCUCAACAUCCUACAUGCUUUAAUACCACCCGGAAAUUACAGCUAGUGCAGAAUGUGGCAGCUUGUGUGCUUGGCAACAGUGCGGAGCACUUCACACCUGUACUGAUAAUCAGUCAACACUAGCUUCCUAUUAAUUUCCACAUUAAUUUAAGAUGUUUUUAAUUUAUAAAGCCCUAAAAUGGUGUAGGUCAUAGGUAGCUCUGGAACUACCUCUUCAACUACGACUCCAGCUAUGACAGCUAAAAUCCACUGAAACACUUUAACCUAACAUCCCUCUAAUUCUGUCAGGAAGGGACUGAAGGCAAUGGUUUUUUUAGUGAAAUAAUCUCAACUUUGAAAUGUGUUGUCUCCAUUGAUCCACCAGAGCCCAGAUUUGUUGAUCAUCAGGUCACUCAGCAAAGCUCACCUCUUUUUCUGCCUGGCUUUUUCUGAGAAGGUGGACUGUAUUGGAAGUUGGGGCAGUUUUAACCUUAGUGGACUUGGGUGAAUUUCAUAUUUUGGGUAUUGGUCCUAAUUUUUAUGUUUAAUACUUUGCACAAGAGUCUAGAGCUUCAGAAAUGUCUGUCCAUAAAUUCAGGUGCACAUUCUUGAAGUCUUUCAAAAUUUCCAUCACAAAGUACCACAAGUUAAAAAAAUAAAACUGGAGAGAGGCAUGGAUCUGAGUCAGAUGUAUUUGUAUUACUUUAUCUCAAGGGGCCUAUGUAAACUGAAGGCACUUUUUUUAAAAGCCUAGGAGAAACCCUGAAAUUAAAAGAUCUGGGUUAAUAUCAGGAGUUGAGACAUUACUCCUUAUUCGUUACCCAUUGUAGUUCUCAAGAUCUUUCCAAACAAAUGUAAUAGAUAUUAGUAGACUCUUGGGAGAUUCCAUAAAGCAGAUCUAAUACUGAACAAGAAGUGUUAAAGAUGGUUUUUGCACAGACAGGUUGUUAAUUUAUCCCAUUUCUUAAUAUGUCUGUUCUAAAGCCAAGAAAGCAUAAAGUAUUGUUUGCAAACGCUUUGUUCUUGAUGUUAAGCCUAAUCUCUUGUCCCAUUAUUCAAAUUCUUUACUUUCAGCCUAACUCAAGAUCUUCAUCUCUAUUCAUUUAUGCUUUUUGAGCAAUGGUGGCCUAUUGGUUAGCUGAACUGGUGCAAACAGCACUGAUUAAUAAAUCCCAUUAAGCAGGGGAACUAAUCGUUACAUUUUUCUGUUUGAUGGUUCUGUGAGGCUCAUUGCAAGUGUUGCAUUGAUUUUAUUUUAUUUUAUUUUAUUUUUCUUCUCUAAGUGCUAAUGUCUUCCUCACAUUUAUGACCCUUGUGCUCCAUGCUGUUUGUUAAUAUUUUUCUAUCUAGUCCCUUUAGGUAUUUGCCUUUAUUAAAACUGUAUUCAAUAAAAAUUAAUAUUAAAUGUCAA